AGAGCCAGUUUGCUGCUACGACUGCAUUCCUUGUCCAGAGGGGACCAUCUCCACUCAGGAAGAUACCAAAAAAUGCACCAAAUGCCCAGAUGAUCAAUAUCCAACUGAGAACCGAGUCCAGUGCAUCCCCAAAAGAAUAAACUUCCUGUCCUAUGAAGAACAUCUCAGCAUCAUCCUCAUCUCCUUUGCUCUACUCUUGUUCCUAAUCACAGCCUUUGUUUUAAUCGUAUUCAUUAAAUACCUUGAAACUCUAUUGUCGAAGCAAACAACCGGGACCUCUCCUACAUCCCCCUGGUCUCCCUUCUGCUUUGCUUCUUAUCCUCCUUGUUCUUCAUUGGCCAACCAAGGAAAGCCACCUGCCUUCUCUGACAAACAGUGUUCAGCAUUGUCUUCUCAGUAGCCGUGCCGUCUGUGUUGGCCAAAACUAUCACAGUAGUGCUGGCAUUCCUAGCUUCAAAACUAGUCAAUAAAGUGAAAAGAUGGUUGGGGAAGAGUUUGGCCAACUCCAUCAUCCUUUCUUGUUCUGCUGUCCAAAUUCUCAUCUGUGCCAUGUGGUUGGGAGUUUCUUCCCCAUUUCCUGACUCUGAUCUCUACUCCCAGUCUGAAGAGAUUAUCCUUCAGUGCAAUGAAGGCUCUGUCACCAUGUUUUAUGUUGUCCUUGGCUACAUGGGCUUCCUUGCUGCAAUUUGCUUCACGGUGGCUUUCCUGGCCAGGAACCUGCCUGGAGUUUUCAAUGAAGCCAAGCUGAUCAUCUUCAGCAUGCUGGUUUUCUGCAGUGUCUGGGUUUUCUUCCUCCCCACCUACCUGAGCACUAAAGGAAAAUACAUGGUGGCCGUGCAGGUCUUCUCCAUCUUGGCUUCCAGUGCUGGACUGUUGGGCUGCAUCUUCUUCCCAAGUGCUACAUUAUCAUCCUGAGGCCAGAUCUAAACACUAAGGAAGAUCUAAUGGCAAAAGCAGGGGAAUAAUUGUGAAAUUGUUUCUUAGGUUGGUGACUUCUAAUUAUCCAUUAUUAUUGGUUAUAUAUUCUUCCUUUGGAUUUGCUUGACGACUUAUGUUUAUUAAAACUGAAGGAACUAAAUAUAUGAAGUUUGUUAGUUAGAUGAAAAUUCAAGAUAAUCAUCAAAUACAUUAAUAAUAAAUAAAUAAGUAAACAAAAAAAUGAAUAAAUAUUAUGUUUUUUAAA
This is a long non-coding RNA of Crotalus tigris (Tiger rattlesnake), 1183 nucleotides long. RefSeq lists it as uncharacterized. The record is from RefSeq and is a predicted model, not a curated record. The transcript is spliced from 2 exons. NCBI's taxonomy places the organism in Eukaryota, Metazoa, Chordata, Lepidosauria, Squamata, Viperidae.